Cinara cedri is the source of this 1113-nucleotide non-coding RNA. The record is from the annotation of a GenBank genome assembly. Lineage: Eukaryota; Metazoa; Arthropoda; Insecta; Hemiptera; Aphididae.
UUUUUUUUUUUUGUUUUUUUUUUUUUUUUUUUUUUUUUAUGUAAAUAUUUCUCAUCGCGUUUUUGCUCUUGUAAAUACCGUAUUAUUAUUAUUAUUUUACUUAAUAUUUCCUUUUCUUUAGAGUAAAAAAAAAAAAAAAAAAAAAAAAAAACCAAUCGCAUUUCUAAACAAUAUGACAAUUUUUUUUUUGUUUUUUUUUUUUAACUGACAUUAUUAAAUUAUCGUUUCCCCCCACCCACCCCCACCACACAUUACCCGGAAGACGACGGUGGUUAUGAUUUCUGACCGACGGAGCGGUUUCCGGUUUUUUUUUUCCGUGUACUAUUACCAAAAUUUAUAUUAUACGCGUAUCCAUACCAAUAUAAAUAUUCAAAAAAAAAAAAAAGUUCCUAUGCGUGAUAUUAUUAUGAUUUAUUUUGUAACAAUGAAAAAUAUUCGAAUAACUGUCGUUUCUAUACCUACUUAUAAAACAUUAAUUAUUAUUGUUAUUUUCUUUAAACAAUAUUAAAACACAGAGUAUUUUUGAAAUGCUGAAAUCGGGACCAUUUUUUUCUUUUCUUUUAAGAAUAGCAUACACAUCACACGUAAAUAUAACAAUAUUACAAUAAAACUUUUUCUUAAAUUUUAAGUUAGACAGUUAAAUACUUAUCCCAUUUUCUGUAUAAUAUACCUACCGUUAUUUUUUUUCCAUGCGUUUAUACAUAUAUAUAUGUAUUUUUUUCUUUUUGUUAAUCGUUCUAAUAAAAUGUAUGUACUUUAUUUUUGAAAAAAAAAUAAUAAAUAUUUUUUGGAAUUGUGUAAGUUUUUAAUGAUAAUUAAUUAUUAUACUUAUUAAUUUUUGUGUAAGUACUACCAUUGAAUAUAAGUCAAUGAUACUACAUUUAUCUUUAAAAUAUAUUAUUAUAAUAAUAGUUAUUGUUCAAUGUUAGAUGAUAUAGAGUUACCUAUUUAUUAAUAUUACGUGUUGUAUUUUAUGUUUUUAUGGAAAAAUAAAACCAUUGUUCUAUAAUAUUAUAUUACACAUAAACCUACUCGACGAAAAAAUUAUAUUGGAUUAUUUGAACUUGGCCCGUUUCCUAAAAUAAUAAAAUUGUUUCCGUAUUUCGUUUUAGG